RNAcentral lists this ribosomal RNA (400 nucleotides) under uncultured bacterium. Its description in RNAcentral is "bacterial SSU rRNA". It matches the Rfam family "Bacterial small subunit ribosomal RNA", at positions 355 to 752 of the family's 1533-position model. The record is from RNAcentral.
UAGGGAAUAUUGGGCAAUGGACGAAAGUCUGACCCAGCCAUGCCGCGUGCAGGAUGAAGGCGCUCAGCGUUGUAAACUGCUUUUGAUAGGGAAGAACGGCCUUCUUGCGAGAAGGUGUGACGGUACCUACAGAAUAAGCACCGGCUAACUCCGUGCCAGCAGCCGCGGUAAUACGGAGGGUGCAAGCGUUGUCCGGAUUUAUUGGGUUUAAAGGGUGCGUAGGUGGCUUUUUAAGUCUGACCUGAAAGUGGGCCGCUUAACGGCACAGGGUGGUUGGAUACUGAAGAGCUUGAAGAGGGUGGAGGCCGCCGGAACGGAUCGUGUAGCGGUGAAAUGCAUAGAGAUGAUCCAGAACCCCGAUUGCGUAGGCAGGCGGCUACGCCCCACUUGACACUGAGGC